UAGAUGUAAUGCUAUUAGAAACAUGAUUCA
Molecule: non-coding RNA, 30 nt
Filed under: Mus musculus (house mouse)
Lineage: Eukaryota; Metazoa; Chordata; Mammalia; Rodentia; Muridae
Source: RNAcentral